GAUGUGGCUCAGUGGUAGAGUGCUUGCCUAGCAUGUGUGAGGCACUGGGUUUGAUUCUCAGCACG
RNAcentral lists this transfer RNA (65 nucleotides) under Marmota monax (woodchuck). RNAcentral's name for it is "tRNA.Ala". Lineage: Eukaryota; Metazoa; Chordata; Mammalia; Rodentia; Sciuridae. The record is from RNAcentral.